This 763-nucleotide ribosomal RNA is filed under the name Ennearabdus lobocephalus. Its description in RNAcentral is "SSU rRNA". It matches the Rfam family "Eukaryotic small subunit ribosomal RNA", at positions 473 to 1193 of the family's 1831-position model. Lineage: Eukaryota; Metazoa; Arthropoda; Insecta; Coleoptera; Scarabaeidae. The record is from RNAcentral.
GCGAAAUACGAUACGGGACUCAUCCGAGGCCCCGUAAUCGGAAUGAGUACACUCUAAACCCUUUAACGAGGAUCAAUUGGAGGGCAAGUCUGGUGCCAGCAGCCGCGGUAAUUCCAGCUCCAAUAGCGUAUAUUAAAGUUGUUGCGGUUAAAAAGCUCGUAGUCGAAUUUGUGUCCCGCGCCGCCGGUUCAUCGCUCGCGGUGUCAACUGGCGUGUCCGCGGGACGUCCUGCCGGUGGGCUCAGCCCCUACGGGGGCGGCCCAAUCUCAAUCCCACCGCGGUGCUCUUCACUGAGUGUCGAGGCGGGCCGGCACGUUUACUUUGAACAAAUUAGAGUGCUUAAAGCAGGCUAAAAAAUCGCCUGAAUACUGUGUGCAUGGAAUAAUGGAAUAGGACCUCGGUUCUAUUUUGUUGGUUUUCGGAACCCCGAGGUAAUGAUUAAUAGGAACGGAUGGGGGCAUUCGUAUUGCGACGUUAGAGGUGAAAUUCUUGGAUCGUCGCAAGACGGACAGAAGCGAAAGCAUUUGCCAAAAACGCUUUCAUUGAUCAAGAACGAAAGUUAGAGGUUCGAAGGCGAUCAGAUACCGCCCUAGUUCUAACCAUAAACGAUGCCAGCUAGCGAUCCGCCGACGUUCCUCCGAUGACUCGGCGGGCAGCUUUCGGGAAACCAAAGCUUUUGGGUUCCGGGGGAAGUAUGGUUGCAAAGCUGAAACUUAAAGGAAUUGACGGAAGGGCACCACCAGGAGUGGAGCCUGCGGCUUAA